GGAUUUACAAAAAUUCUUUUGGGUUAUAGUAAAUAAUAAUAAUAAUAAUAAUAAUACGAGUUGAGCUAGAAUACUCUCAAAAGCACUAAGGAGGUGGCGCUUUUGAAUUUUUAACUAUUGGAUAGAGAGAUGUAGGGUUGAGAUAAUUGUGAUGGUGGUGGUAGGUGGAAUAGUGUUUGAUCCAAGUGGUAUUAAUAAUUAAGCAGUAGAUCCAAGGGCUAGAAACUUAGAAACACAAAGAGAUUGGUGUUUCUAAAAAUAUUCUAACUCAAUUCAUAAUAAUCCUAUUAGAGAAAAAAAGCCUUUGGAUAAUAACACUCCGUUUGGCUCGGGUAUAAAGGGGGGGAUAAGGGGGAUAU
Molecule: long non-coding RNA, 359 nt
Filed under: Ananas comosus (pineapple)
Lineage: Eukaryota; Viridiplantae; Streptophyta; Magnoliopsida; Poales; Bromeliaceae
Description: long non-coding RNA (ACOM_LNC002208)
Source: RNAcentral